Molecule: ribosomal RNA, 239 nt
Filed under: uncultured Bacteroidota bacterium
Lineage: Bacteria; Pseudomonadati; Bacteroidota
Description: uncultured Bacteroidetes bacterium partial 16S ribosomal RNA
Rfam family: Bacterial small subunit ribosomal RNA
Source: RNAcentral
AGUGGCGGACGGGUGAGUAACACGUAUCCAACCUGCCGAUGACUCGGGGAUAGCCUUUCGAAAGAAAGAUUAAUACCCGAUGGCAUAGUUCUUCCGCAUGGUAGAACUAUUAAAGAAUUUCGGUCAUCGAUGGGGAUGCGUUCCAUUAGGUUGUUGGCGGGGUAACGGCCCACCAAGCCUUCGAUGGAUAGGGGUUCUGAGAGGAAGGUCCCCCACAUUGGAACUGAGACACGGUCCAA